AGAGUUUGAUCAUGGCUCAGAUUGAACGCUGGCGGCAGGCCUAACACAUGCAAGUCGAACGGUAACAGGAAGAAGCUUGCUUCUUUGCUGACGAGUGGCGGACGGGUGAGUAAUGUCUGGGAAACUGCCUGAUGGAGGGGGAUAACUACUGGAAACGGUAGCUAAUACCGCAUAACGUCGCAAGACCAAAGAGGGGGACCUUCAGGCCUCUUGCCAUCGGAUGUGCCCAGAUGGGAUUAGCUAGUAGGUGGGGUAAUGGCUCACCUAGGCGACGAUCCCUAGCUGGUCUGAGAGGAUGACCAGCCACACUGGAACUGAGACACGGUCCAGACUCCUACGGGAGGCAGCAGUGGGGAAUAUUGCACAAUGGGCGCAAGCCUGAUGCAGCCAUGCCGCGUGUAUGAAGAAGGCCUUCGGGUUGUAAAGUACUUUCAGCGGGGAGGAAGGGAGUAAAGUUAAUACCUUUGCUCAUUGACGUUACCCGCAGAAGAAGCACCGGCUAACUCCGUGCCAGCAGCCGCGGUAAUACGGAGGGUGCAAGCGUUAAUCGGAAUUACUGGGCGUAAAGCGCACGCAGGCGGUUUGUUAAGUCAGAUGUGAAAUCCCCGGGCUCAACCUGGGAACUGCAUCUGAUACUGGCAAGCUUGAGUCUCGUAGAGGGGGGUAGAAUUCCAGGUGUAGCGGUGAAAUGCGUAGAGAUCUGGAGGAAUACCGGUGGCGAAGGCGGCCCCCUGGACGAAGACUGACGCUCAGGUGCGAAAGCGUGGGAGCAAACAGGAUUAGAUACCCUGGUAGUCCACGCCGUAAACGAUGUCGACUUGGAGGUUGUGCCCUUGAGGCGUGGCUUCCGGAGCUAACGCGUUAAGUCGACCGCCUGGGGAGUACGGCCGCAAGGUUAAAACUCAAAUGAAUUGACGGGGGCCCGCACAAGCGGUGGAGCAUGUGGUUAAUUCGAUGCAACGCGAGACCUUACCUGGUCUUGACAUCCACGGAAGUUUUCAGAGAUGAGAAUGUGCCUUCGGGAACCGUGAGACAGGUGCUGCAUGGCUGUCGUCAGCUCGUGUUGUGAAAUGUUGGGUUAAGUCCCGCAACGAGCGCAACCCUUAUCCUUU
This 1112-nucleotide ribosomal RNA is filed under the name Escherichia coli. Its description in RNAcentral is "bacterial SSU rRNA". It matches the Rfam family "Bacterial small subunit ribosomal RNA", at positions 8 to 1113 of the family's 1533-position model. Lineage: Bacteria; Pseudomonadati; Pseudomonadota; Gammaproteobacteria; Enterobacterales; Enterobacteriaceae. The record is from RNAcentral.